Molecule: ribosomal RNA, 475 nt
Filed under: marine sediment bacterium ISA-2687
Lineage: Bacteria
Description: bacterial SSU rRNA
Rfam family: Bacterial small subunit ribosomal RNA
Source: RNAcentral
CUGGCGGCAGCCUUAACACAUGCAAGUCGAGCGGAUGACGGGAGCUUGCUCCUUGAUUCAGCGGCGGACGGGUGAGUAAUGCCUAGGAAUCUGCCUGGUAGUGGGGGACAACGUUUCGAAAGGAACGCUAAUACCGCAUACGUCCUACGGGAGAAAGCAGGGGACCUUCGGGCCUUGCGCUAUCAGAUGAGCCUAGGUCGGAUUAGCUUGUUGGUGAGGUAAUGGCUCACCAAGGCGACGAUCCGUAACUGGUCUGAGAGGAUGAUCAGUCACACUGGAACUGAGACACGGUCCAGACUCCUACGGGAGGCAGCAGUGGGGAAUAUUGGACAAUGGGCGAAAGCCUGAUCCAGCCAUGCCGCGUGUGUGAAGAAGGUCUUCGGAUUGUAAAGCACUUUAAGUUGGGAGGAAGGGUUGUAGAUUAAUACUCUGCAAUUUUGACGUUACCGACAGAAUAAGCACCGGCUAACUCUGU